CCUACGGGUGGCAGCAGUAGGGAAUCUUCCACAAUGGGCGCAAGCCUGAUGGAGCAACACCGCGUGAGUGAAGCAGGGUUUCGGCUCGUAAAGCUCUGUUGUUGGAGAAGAACGUGCGGAAGAGUAACCGUUCAUGCAGUGACGGUAUCCAACCAGAAAGUCACGGCUAACUACGUGCGAGCAGCCGCGGUAAUACGUAGGUGGCAAGUGUUAUCCGGAUUGAUUGGGCGGAAAGCGAGCGCAGGCGGUUGCGUAGGUCUGAUGUGAAAUCCUUCGGCUUAACCGAAGAAGUGCAUCGGAAACCGGGCGACUUGAGUGCAGAAGAGGACAGUGGAACUCCAUGUGUAGCGGUGGAAUGCGUAGAUAUAUGGAAGAACACCAGUGGCGAAGGCGGCUGUCUGGUCUGCAACUGACGCUGAGGCUCGAAAGCAUGGGUAGCGAACAGGAUUAGAUACCCUUGUAGUC
This 465-nucleotide ribosomal RNA is filed under the name uncultured bacterium. Its description in RNAcentral is "partial 16S ribosomal RNA". It matches the Rfam family "Bacterial small subunit ribosomal RNA", at positions 338 to 795 of the family's 1533-position model. The record is from RNAcentral.